RNAcentral lists this microRNA precursor (150 nucleotides) under Pelodiscus sinensis (Chinese soft-shelled turtle). RNAcentral describes it as "microRNA 216a (ENSPSIG00000019815.1)". The stretch from base 23 to 98 matches the Rfam family "mir-216 microRNA precursor family". The record is from RNAcentral. Lineage: Eukaryota; Metazoa; Chordata; Testudines; Trionychidae.
AAGCCUAACCAGGAUGGCUGUGAAUUGGCUUAAUCUCAGCUGGCAACUGUGAGCAAUUAAUAAAUUCUCUCACAGUGGUAUCUGGGAUUAUGCUAAACACAGCAAUUUCUUUGCUCUAGUGGAUCAAUGGACCUCCGCUGCCAGCUAAGU